Molecule: ribosomal RNA, 468 nt
Filed under: uncultured bacterium
Lineage: Bacteria
Description: partial 16S ribosomal RNA
Rfam family: Bacterial small subunit ribosomal RNA
Source: RNAcentral
GACGAACGCUGGCGGCGUGCUUAACACAUGCAAGUCGAACGGAAAGGCCCUGCUUUUGUGGGGUGCUCGAGUGGCGAACGGGUGAGUAACACGUGAGUAACCUGCCCUUGACUUUGGGAUAACUUCAGGAAACUGGGGCUAAUACCGGAUAGGAGCUCCUGCUGCAUGGUGGGGGUUGGAAAGUUUCGGCGGUUGGGGAUGGACUCGCGGCUGAUCAGCUUGUUGGUGGGGUAGUGGCUUACCAAGGCUUUGACGGGUAGCCGGCCUGAGAGGGUGACCGGCCACAUUGGGACUGAGAUAAGGCACAGACUCCUACGCGAGGCAGCAGUGGGGAAGAGUGCACAGUGGGCGGAAGCCUGAUGCAGCAACGCCGCGUGCGGGAUGACGGCAUUCGGGUUGUAAACCGCUUUCGCCUGUGACGAAGCGUGAGUGACGGUAAUGGGUAAAGAAGCACCGGCUAACUACGUG